UGGGGAAUAUUGGACAAUGGGCGCAAGCCUGAUCCAGCCAUGCCGCGUGAGUGAUGAAGGCCCUAGGGUUGUAAAGCUCUUUCACCGGUGAAGAUAAUGACGGUAACCGGAGAAGAAGCCCCGGCUAACUUCGUGCCAGCAGCCGCGGUAAUACGAAGGGGGCUAGCGUUGUUCGGAUUUACUGGGCGUAAAGCGCACGUAGGCGGACUAUUAAGUCAGGGGUGAAAUCCCGGGGCUCAACCCCGGAACUGCCUUUGAUACUGGUAGUCUUGAGUUCGAAAGAGGUGAGUGGAAUUCCGAGUGUAGAGGUGAAAUUCGUAGAUAUUCGGAGGAACACCAGUGGCGAAGGCGGCGCACUGGCUCGAUACUGACGCUGAGGUGCGAAAGCGUGGGGAGCAAACAGG
RNAcentral lists this ribosomal RNA (404 nucleotides) under Actinomycetes bacterium. RNAcentral describes it as "Actinobacteria bacterium partial 16S ribosomal RNA". It matches the Rfam family "Bacterial small subunit ribosomal RNA", at positions 355 to 776 of the family's 1533-position model. The record is from RNAcentral. Lineage: Bacteria; Bacillati; Actinomycetota; Actinomycetes.